Molecule: unclassified non-coding RNA, 510 nt
Filed under: uncultured Glomus
Lineage: Eukaryota; Fungi; Glomeromycota; Glomeromycetes; Glomerales; Glomeraceae
Description: SSU rRNA
Rfam family: Eukaryotic small subunit ribosomal RNA
Source: RNAcentral
AGCAGCCGCGGUAAUUCCAGCUCCAAUAGCGUAUAUUAAAGUUGUUGCAGUUAAAAAGCUCGUAGUUGAAUUUCGGGAUCAAUAUGUUGGUCGUGCCUCGGUACGUACUAGCAUAUUGGUUUCUCCUUUCUGAAGAACCAUGAUGUCAUUUAUUUGGUGUCGUGGGGAAUCAGGACUGUUACUUUGAAAAAAUUAGAGUGUUUAAAGCAGGCUCACGCUUGAAUACAUUAGCAUGGAAUAAUGAAAUAGGACGUUUGAUUCUAUUUUGUUGGUUUCUAGGAUCGACGUAAUGAUUAAUAGGGAUAGUUGGGGCGAUUAGUAUUCAAUUGUCAGAGGUGAAAUUCUUGGAUUUAUUGAAGACUAACUACUGCGAAAGCAAUUUGCCAAGGAUGUUUUCAUUAAUCAAGAACGAAAGUUAGGGGAUCGAAGACGAUCAGAUACCGUCGUAGUCUUAACCAUAAACUAUGCCGACUAGGGAUCGGAUGAUGUUAAUUUUUUAAUGACUCAUUC